UACAGAGGGGGCAAGCGUUAUUCGGAAUUAUUGGGCGUAAAGAGCGCGUAGGCGGUCCGAUAAGUCGGCUGUGAAAGUCCAGGGCUCAACCGUGGAAAGCCGGCCGAUACUGUCGGACUAGAGUCCGGAAGAGGCAAGUGGAAUUCCCGGUGUAGCGGUGAAAUGCGCAGAUAUCAGGAGGAACACCUAUUGCGAAGGCAGCUCGCUGGGACGUUACUGACGCUGAGACGCGAAAGCGUGGGGAGCAAACAGG
Molecule: ribosomal RNA, 253 nt
Filed under: uncultured bacterium
Lineage: Bacteria
Description: partial 16S ribosomal RNA
Rfam family: Bacterial small subunit ribosomal RNA
Source: RNAcentral